AUUCUAGAGCUAAUACAUGCAUCAAUCCCCAACUUACAAAGGGGUGUAUUUAUUAAAUGGAAACCAAUGCGGGAAAACCCGGAAUCUGGUGAUUCAUAAUACCUCUCGAAUCGAUUGCAAAAUCAAUGCAUCAUUCAAGUUUCUGCCCUAUCACCUUUGGAUGGUAGGGUAUUGGCCUACCAUGGCUUUAACGGGUAACGAAAUUUUAGGGUUCAAUUCCGGAAAGGGAGCCUGAAAAAUGGCUACCACAUCUAAGGAAGGCAGCAGGCGCGUAAAUUACCCAAUCCUGACACAGGAAGGUAGUGACAAUAAAUAACAAUGCCGGGUUUUUUAAGUCUGGAAAUUGAAAUGAAAACAAUUUAAAUCCUUUAUCGAGAAUCAAUUGAAGGGCAGGUCUG
RNAcentral lists this ribosomal RNA (398 nucleotides) under uncultured eukaryote. RNAcentral's name for it is "bacterial SSU rRNA". It matches the Rfam family "Eukaryotic small subunit ribosomal RNA", at positions 155 to 563 of the family's 1831-position model. The record is from RNAcentral.